UCAAUUAUUAGCUAUAUUCACCAUACUAUGUAAUUGACCUCAAAAGAUGUUUUUUAAACCAUCCUUAUUCCUUCUACCUGAGGUUUUUACCCUUUGACUAUCAUCUCCCCUAUUUCCCCCACACUCCUAGCCUCUGGUAACUACCUUUGUACUCCUUGGUUCCAUCAGUUCAAGAAUUUUAGAUGCCAAAUUUAAAUGAGAACAUGUGGUAUUUGUCUGUCUUUGGAGAAGGCUAUAAGGUCAAAAGUGAAAUAUAUUAUUUUUCAGAUGAAACACUGUAAUGUGUGUACUGAUUAUAAUUAGCCUUCCAAAUAAGGAUACUGUUCAAGACCAGCCUGGCCAACACGGUAAAACCCUGUCUCUACAAAAA
This 370-nucleotide long non-coding RNA is filed under the name Pan troglodytes (chimpanzee). RNAcentral describes it as "long non-coding RNA NONPTRT012479". Lineage: Eukaryota; Metazoa; Chordata; Mammalia; Primates; Hominidae. The record is from RNAcentral.